UACGAAGGGUGCAAGCGUUACUCGGAAUUACUGGGCGUAAAGCGUGCGUAGGUGGUUUGUUAAGUCUGUUGUGAAAGCCCCGGGCUCAACCUGGGAAUGGCAAUGGAUACUGGCAAGCUAGAGUGCGGUAGAGGGUAGUGGAAUUCCCGGUGUAGCAGUGAAAUGCGUAGAUAUCGGGAGGAACACCAGUGGCGAAGGCGGCGACCUGGGCCAAUAUUGACGCUGAGGUGCGAAAGCGUGGGGAGCAAACAGG
RNAcentral lists this ribosomal RNA (253 nucleotides) under uncultured bacterium. RNAcentral describes it as "partial 16S ribosomal RNA". It matches the Rfam family "Bacterial small subunit ribosomal RNA", at positions 524 to 776 of the family's 1533-position model. The record is from RNAcentral.